GGCUCAAUGGCGUAGUUGGUUAUCGCACCUGUCUAACACACAGUAGGUCUCCUGUUCGAACCAGGAUUGAGUCA
This 74-nucleotide transfer RNA is filed under the name Omphalotus olearius VT 653.13. RNAcentral's name for it is "tRNA-Val (AAC) (tRNA-Val-AAC-3-1)". Lineage: Eukaryota; Fungi; Basidiomycota; Agaricomycetes; Agaricales; Omphalotaceae. The record is from RNAcentral.